RNAcentral lists this ribosomal RNA (483 nucleotides) under uncultured bacterium. Its description in RNAcentral is "bacterial SSU rRNA". It matches the Rfam family "Bacterial small subunit ribosomal RNA", at positions 28 to 507 of the family's 1533-position model. The record is from RNAcentral.
GAUGAACGCUAGCGGCAGGCUUAACACAUGCAAGUCGAACGCGAAAGGGCUUCGGCCUGAGUAGAGUGGCGGACGGGUGAGUAAUGCGUGGGAAUCUACCCUAGAGCGGGGGACAACCCGGGGAAACUCGGGCUAAUACCGCAUACGUCCUACGGGAGAAAGGGGGCCUCUGAAUGUAAGCUCCCACUCCAGGAUGAGCCCACGUCCGAUUAGCUAGUUGGUAGGGUAAAGGCCUACCAAGGCCACGAUCGGUAGCUGGUCUGAGAGGUUGGCCGGCCACACUGGGACUGAGACACGGCCCAGACACCUACGGGUGGCAGCAGUAGGGAAUCUUGGACAAUGGGCGCAAGCCUGAUCCAGCCAUGCCGCGUGGGCGACGACGGUCUUCGGACUGUAAAGCCCUUUUCUCGGGGACGAACCCCCUCCGGAGGCAAUGCCGGGGGGCUGACGGUACCCGCGGAAUAAGCAACGGCUAACUCCGUG